UUUUCUUUCUGAUCUGUUGACGCGCUGAGGUUUACAGGAGUUUUUUUUGUUUUUGUCUCCCUCUAGUGUUUGGUAUGAAUAAUGCAGCUCCAUCACGUCGCUGUUCCCAAACUUUAUAGUUGUUUUUCUGACUAAAGAAAGUUGAAAAAAAAGUCAAAACGAGUUUCUUCUUCGGGUGGUGCAUGUCAGAAGGUUCUGCUGCUCCGCCGGUUCUGGUUCUGACCGUCUGAACUUUGAGUUCCUUCCCCGGCUGUGAUGCACAUUCCGGGAUUUGCAUACAGAGGAGCGGCGCGCCUCCCUCUCUGGGCUGGUUCUCUCCGUGCGGUGCGCAGAAGUUUUUCCAGCAGAGGAAAGGAAACAGUCCGGUUCGGAUCAGGCCCCUAGAAGAACUCCGGACAGAACUUUCGGAUCCCGGUCCAACUUCUCCCUCUCUCACACAAAGGUCUGACAUGUCGCUCCAGACGAGCGAGAAGACGACGCGGACCUUCCGGACGGUGGACGUGCGCUCCUCGGAACCGGUCACCACCACCAUGACUUUGGGUCGAGUUCCCCCCAAGACGCAGACGGUGCAGGCGAUGCCGUACGCGCUCAACGGCUCCUACGACUCCGUGCGCUACCUGGUGCCGGUACAGCAGUCGGUGCCGCAGCAGUCCUUCAUGGUCAUGCAGCAGCAGCCGGUCAUGCAGUCCGUCAUGCAGCAGCAGCCGGUCAUGCAGUCCGUCAUGCAGCCGGUCAUGCAGCCGGUCAUGCAGCCGAUGGUGCAGCCGGUGGUGCAGCAGUCCGUCAUGCGCCCCAUGGUGCAGCCCAUGUACGUGCAGACCCUCCCGCGCGUCCGAACCGCCACGCAGGAGUCCGACCUGCUGGUCCAGAGGAGUACAGUGGAGACCAACAGCAGGAAGUCCUCAUCUUCUCAAGUGUUCAGCCAGUCGUCCAGUCCCACCAAGAGUCCUGCGCCGAGCUAUGAGGAAGAGGUGAGAGCACAAAACUGCACAGCAAGUUAAAACUCCUCUGAUUGGGUGAAAAACAAUCAUUUUAAUGUUUGAACUCCAAUUAGGAAUUCCACUGACUAAAAACAGUCAAGAAAAGGGAUUGUUUUGCAGAUUUAGAAAGAAUAAUUUAGAGAAAAUCAAACAGUGUGGUUGAAAUUCACAGAUUUGUGCUAUUUUAUGCUUUACUUGACUGUUUCCUGUCAAUUUUACCACAGUUUCCUGUUGCCGUGACUACCUAUAACAAUAUAUGUGUUG
Molecule: long non-coding RNA, 1244 nt
Filed under: Oryzias javanicus (javanese ricefish)
Lineage: Eukaryota; Metazoa; Chordata; Actinopteri; Beloniformes; Adrianichthyidae
Description: lncRNA (ENSOJAG00000017780.1)
Source: RNAcentral